RNAcentral lists this ribosomal RNA (492 nucleotides) under uncultured bacterium. RNAcentral's name for it is "partial 16S ribosomal RNA". It matches the Rfam family "Bacterial small subunit ribosomal RNA", at positions 29 to 507 of the family's 1533-position model. The record is from RNAcentral.
AGUGAACGCUGGCGGCAGGCUUAACACAUGCAAGUCGAACGGAAGCACAGUAAGUGCUUGCUCUAAUGGGUGGCGAGUGGCGGACGGGUGAGGAAUACAACGGACUCUACAUUUUCGUGGGGGCUAACGUAGGGAAACUUACGCUAAUACAGCAUACGACUUACGGGUGAAAGCAGGGAAUGUUCGGCUGUUGUGGGAUGGACUGACGCGAUGUCGGAUUAGCUAGUUGGCGGGGUAAUGGCACACCAAGGCGACGAAGCGUAGCUGGUCUGAGAGGGGGUACAGGCACACUGGGAGUGGAAGACGGUCCUGAGUCUUACAGGAGGCAGCGGUGGGGAAGAGUGGACGAUGUGCGGAAUCCUGAUCCAGCGAUACCGCGUUGAUGAAGAAGGGCUGCGUGUUGUAAAAACCUUUUGUGGGUAAAGAAAAGCAUCGCUUGAAUACACGCCUUUUCUGACGGUACCUAAAGAAUAAGCACCGGCUAACUUCGUG